RNAcentral lists this ribosomal RNA (465 nucleotides) under uncultured bacterium. Its description in RNAcentral is "partial 16S ribosomal RNA". It matches the Rfam family "Bacterial small subunit ribosomal RNA", at positions 28 to 507 of the family's 1533-position model. The record is from RNAcentral.
GACGAACGCUGGCGGCGUGCUUAACACAUGCAAGUCGUACGGUAAGGCCCUUUCGGGGGUACACGAGUGGCGCACGGGUGAGUAACACGUGAGUAACCUGCCCACAACUUUGGGAUAACGCUAGGAAACUGGUGCUAAUACUGGAUAUGUGCUCCUGCUGCAUGGUGGGGGUUGGAAAGCUCCGGCGGUUGUGGAUGGACUCGCGGCCUAUCAGCUUGUUGGUGGGGUAGUGGCCUACCAAGGCGGCGACGGGUAGCCGGCCUGAGAGGGUGACCGGCCACAUUGGGACUGAGAUAAGGCCCAGACUCCUACGGGAGGCAGCAGUGGGGAAUAUUGCACAAUGGGCGCAAGCCUGAUGCAGCAACGCCGCGUGCGGGAUGACGGCCUUCGGGUUGUAAACCGCUUUCAGCAGGGACGAAGCUUUUUGUGACGGUACCUGCAGAAGAAGCACCGGCUAACUACGUG